This 2145-nucleotide ribosomal RNA is filed under the name human gut metagenome. RNAcentral's name for it is "bacterial LSU rRNA". It matches the Rfam family "Bacterial large subunit ribosomal RNA", at positions 294 to 2449 of the family's 2925-position model. The record is from RNAcentral.
GGGGUAGUAGGACUGCGACAUUGAUGAAAUAAAUGAAAUGGAACACCUUGGAAAAUGUGAUCACAGAGGGUGAUAAUCCCGUACAUGCAAGUUUAUGAAUCAUAGCAGACUCCUGAGUAAGUCGGGACACGUGUAAUCCUGACCGAAUCCGCCGGGACCAUCCGGCAAGGCUAAAUACUCCUGAGAGACCGAUAGUGAACCAGUACCGUGAGGGAAAGGUGAAAAGCACUUCGAACAGAAGAGUGAAAUAGUCCCUGAACCCAUACGCCUACAAGCAGUCGGAGCCGCUUCGUGCGGUGACGGCGUGCCUUUUGCAUAAUGAGCCUACGAGUUACUCAUCACCAGCGAGGUUAAGUACUUCAGGUACGUAAGCCGAAGCGAAAGCGAGUCUGAAUAGGGCGUCAAGUUGGUGGUGGUAGACGCGAAACCUUAGUGAUCUACCCAUGGGCAGGGUGAAGGUUUGGUAACACAAACUGGAGGCCCGAACCGGUAAACGUUGAAAAGUUUUCGGAUGACCUGUGGGUAGGGGUGAAAGGCCAAUCAAACUGGGAAAUAGCUCGUACUCUCCGAAAUGCAUUUAGGUGCAGCCUCUGUUGUUUUGUUCUAGAGGUAGAGCUACUGAUUGGAUGCGAGGGCUUCACCGCCUAUCAAAUCCGGCCAAACUCCGAAUGCUAGAACAUGAAGACAGGGAGUGAGCCAGCGGGUGCUAAGGUCCGUUGACGAAAGAGGGAGAACUCAGACCAUCAGCUAAGGUCCCCAAUUAUAUGCUAAGUUGGAAUAAAAACGGGGUGGGACUGCUUAGACAGCUAGGAUGUUGGCUUGGAAGCAGCCAUUCAUUUAAAGAGUGCGUAACAGCUCACUAGUCGAGCGGUCCUGCAUGGAUAAUACGCGGGCAUAAGCAUAUAACCGAAGCUAUGGGAUUGUAGAUGAUACAAUCGGUAGGAGAGCAUUCCAUUCAGCAUAGAAGCAGUACCGUGAGGUAUUGUGGAGCGGAUGGAAAAGCAAAUGUAGGCAUAAGUAACGAUAAUGCGGGUGAGAACCCCGCACGCCGAAAGAUCAAGGAUUCCCCGGCAAUGUCAAUCAUCCGGGGGUAAGUCGGAUCCUAAGGGUAAGCCGAGUGGCGAUCCCGAUGGCAAACAGGUUAAUAUUCCUGUACUGAUCAUAACUGCGAUGCAGCGACGCAGAGGUGACACUGCUGCGUACUGACGGAAUAGUACGUUGAAACCCGUAUUCUUUGAUACCGGUAGUGAAGCACGCCGGUAGAGAUGAAAGGUGAUAGUACCGCAAUGCUUCGGUUGCGCGGAUAAUGCAGGUAAGCUGACUGCCAAGAAAACCUGCUAAGCUUCAGGUAAUGAUCAUCCGUACUGUAAACGGACACACGUGAUCAGGUAGAAAAUACUAAGGCGCUCGAGAGAUUCAUGGUUAAGGAACUAGGCAAAAUGGUCCUGUAACUUCGGGAUAAAGGACGCUCUUGUGAAAGAGCCGCAGAUAAUAGGCCCAGGCGACUGUUUACCAAAAACACAUGGCUAUGCUAAUUCGCAAGAAGAUGUAUAUGGCCUGACACCUGCCCGGUGCCGGAAGGUUAAGAGGAGAGCUCAGAGGUAACUCGAAGGUUUGAAUUGAAGCCCCGGUAAACGGCGGCCGUAACUAUAACGGUCCUAAGGUAGCGAAAUUCCUUGUCGGGUAAGUUCCGACCUGCACGAAUGGUGUAACGAUCUGGGUACUGUCUCAACCAUGAGCUCGGUGAAAUUGUAGUUCCGGUGAAGAUGCCGGAUACCCGCAACGGGACGGAAAGACCCCGUGAACCUUUACUGCAGCUUUGCAUUGAUUUUGGGUAACAGAUGUGUAGGAUAGGUCGGAGGCUUUGAUGCUGCGUCGUCAGGCGUAGAGUAGCCGUCGUUGAAAUACGACCCUUUUGUUAUCUGAGGUCUAAUCCCGUUAGGGAGACAUUGCAUGGUGGGUAGUUUGACUGGGGUGGUCGCCUCCAAAAGUGUAACGGAGGCUUCUCAAGGUACCCUCAAGGCGUUUGGUAAUCGUCUGCAGAGUGCAAUGGCAUAAGGGUGCUUGACUGUGAGACCGACACGUCGAUCAGGUUGGAAACAAGAGCAUAGUGAUCCGGUGGUUCCGCAUGGAAGGGCCAUCGCU